Molecule: transfer RNA, 74 nt
Filed under: Candidatus Altarchaeales archaeon WOR_SM1_86-2
Lineage: Archaea; Nanobdellati; Candidatus Altarchaeota; Candidatus Altarchaeia; Candidatus Altarchaeales
Description: Candidatus Altiarchaeales archaeon WOR_SM1_86-2 tRNA-Pro
Rfam family: tRNA
About the family: Transfer RNA (tRNA) molecules are approximately 80 nucleotides in length.
Source: RNAcentral
GGGACCGUAGGGUAGUUUGGUAAUCCUUGUGGCUUUGGGAGCCAUAGACUCGAGUUCGAAUCUCGACGGUCCCA